UCUCCCAUCACCGGUCCUUCUCCCAGUCUCCCCCCUCGCCCCAGCACUUACAAUGUUAGUCACUCCGACAUUAUUGACCCUGGUGCCGACAAAAGAGAUGUGCAGCAAAAGUUGGGUGUCUCCGAGGCCAGCAGAAAGACCUUACUGAUCAACGAGGACAAAUGGAAUCCAUGCAGCGCUCCAUAGCCCAAGUAGAAUUUGUGAAAGUGUGUCCAACCUCAGGCUGUGGAGUAACGCAACGUGAGCUCCGCAGAACGCGUGUGGGACCAAACGCCGUUGUGGCCGUCUCUCAGACAGGCCAUGGAAGAGAUGAAACGUGACAUGCAAACUUACAACAAAGGGCUGUUCCAAGCAUUCACAAAUCAGUUCCUCGAUCAAGUCGAGCAAUGAACAAGUUGAGGAAGGAAGUUUUGACGCAGAGGUUGAAGGAAGAAAAGAGGCAGAGUGACUAAGUCACAGCCAGAAAGUGUGGAUGACAGUUUUGAUUUCUAUUCACUGUUGCCCCCUCCCAAUUAAAGUAUGUCACAGUCGCAACCAAUUAUUAUCUAAAGCUGGUUAAAAUUGAAGUUAUGUUGUUUUAAGGUGUAUUAAAUACUUGUUCAUGUGCCCCUUUUGAUCUACGAGCACCCGCCCCUCCACCGGUCUCUGCACGGCCCUGCUGAAACACAGUGUGGGUCGACAGAGCUCAAUAUUUUGUUGGGGUGUACAGUGUACUGGAACAUAUUUCCUCCACACCCUUCUCACCUUUUUAACCCCUGACCCAUUUUCAUGCCUGUAUAUUAUGUCAAUACUAUAAUACUACAGAAUUCAGAUUCUACACUAAGAAUAGCUUUAAAAUGACACCCUUUUUGAAAAAUAUGAUUGGCAAUGAACAUUAUAAUUCUCAUGCUAUUUUAUAUACGUAGUAGUUUACUAUAAUAAUAAUGCUAGAUAUAUUUUUUAAAUUGUCUUGAAUAAAGUUGGAAAGGCGAAGUCAGUGUUGUGAAUCUGAUUACAUUGUAUUCUUUUGCACUAGUAAAUGCUAUCAACAUUUGACCUUGUUGUUUAUGUGUGAUUAAUUAUUGUUAUUUACAUGUUUAUUUGUACUUUAAUAAAGAAUUUAAGUGAUUUUGUGAAUUAAUAAGCGUCAACAAAAAUUUCAUUACAUUAGUAAAAACUCGACUAAUCGUAAAAAUAGUCGGCUGACUAAAGGAGAGAAAAAAUUAGUCGUUUGGGACAGCCCUACCGGAACAUAUUACCUCCACACCCUUCUCACCUUUUUAACCCCUGACCCAUUUUCAUGCCUGUAUAUUAUGUCAAUACUAUAAUACUACAGAAUUCAGAUUCUACACUAAGAAUAGCUUUAAAAUGACACCCUUUUUGAAAAAUAUGAUUGGCAAUGAACAUUAUAAUUCUCAUGCUAUUUUAUAUACGUAGUAGUUUACUAUAAUAAUAAUGCUAGAUAUAUUUUUUAAAUUGUCUUGAAUAAAGUUGGAAAGGCGAAGUCAGUGUUGUGAAUCUGAUUACAUUGUAUUCUUUUGCACUAGUAAAUGCUAUCAACAUUUGACCUUGUUGUUUAUGUGUGAUUAAUUAUUGUUAUUUACAUGUUUAUUUGUACUUUAAUAAAGAAUUUAAGUGAUUUUGUGAAUUAAUAAGCGUCAACAAAAAUUUCAUUACAUUAGUAAAAACUCGACUAAUCGUAAAAAUAGUCGGCUGACUAAAGGAGAGAAAAAAUUAGUCGUUUGGGACAGCCCUACCGGAACAUAUUACCUCCACACCCUUCUCACCUUUUUAACCCCUGACCCAUUUUCAUGCCUGGUUGUAUCUUAAGAAGGUUCUUAGAGUUUCAAAAUGCAAAAAGAAGAAAUAGGAACAAGAGACCAAAUGUUUAGAGGAGGCACUUUAUUGAAAAGAACAAUUUAACUGAAAUAGGCUGUUCAACAGCUGAUCAAAAGUUUAA
Molecule: long non-coding RNA, 1939 nt
Organism: Corythoichthys intestinalis (scribbled pipefish)
Lineage: Eukaryota; Metazoa; Chordata; Actinopteri; Syngnathiformes; Syngnathidae
Exons: 4
Source: RefSeq, a predicted model, not a curated record